This 222-nucleotide long non-coding RNA is filed under the name Cicer arietinum (chickpea). RNAcentral describes it as "long non-coding RNA (CARI_LNC000572)". Lineage: Eukaryota; Viridiplantae; Streptophyta; Magnoliopsida; Fabales; Fabaceae. The record is from RNAcentral.
UCAGUUUUGUAAGACAUCCACUAUAAUGAUCGCAGUCGACGAGGGAAGAAACGAGAGGGAAUGGUUUUGGCGGCGGCGUAUACGAAGAAGGUGAAGGAAGAGGAAAAUUGUGUUUCGGUCUUUUUUUUUUUGUAUUCCUAUUCUCUUAUUAUUAUUAUUAUUAUUAUUAUUAUUAUUAUUAUUAUUAUUAUUAUUAUUAUUAUUAUUAUUAUUAUUCAAAAC